GAUGAACGCUGGCGGCGUGCCUAAUACAUGCAAGUCGAGCGAAUGGAUUAAGAGCUUGCUCUUAUGAAGUUAGCGGCGGACGGGUGAGUAACACGUGGGUAACCUGCCCAUAAGACUGGGAUAACUCCGGGAAACCGGGGCUAAUACCGGAUAACACUUUGAACCGCAUGGUUCGAAAUUGAAAGGCGGCUUCGGCUGUCACUUAUGGAUGGACCCGCGUCGCAUUAGCUAGUUGGUGAGGUAACGGCUCACCAAGGAAACGAUGCCUAGCCGACCUGAGUGGGUGAUCGGCAAAUCUGGGACUGAGACACGGCCCGGACUCCUACGGGAGGCAGCAGUAGGGAAGCUUCCGCAAUGGACGAAAGUCUGACGGAGCAACGCCGCGUGAGUGAUUAAGGCUUUCGGGUCGUAAAACUCUGUUGUUAGGGAAGAACAAGGGCUAGUUGAAUAAGCUGGCACCUUGACGGUACCUAACCAGAAAGCCACGGCUAACUACGUGCCAGCCGCCGCCGUAA
This 515-nucleotide ribosomal RNA is filed under the name uncultured bacterium. Its description in RNAcentral is "partial 16S ribosomal RNA". It matches the Rfam family "Bacterial small subunit ribosomal RNA", at positions 28 to 523 of the family's 1533-position model. The record is from RNAcentral.